RNA transcript from Cebus imitator (Panamanian white-faced capuchin), 3244 nucleotides. It is a transcript of the gene named ubiquitin carboxyl-terminal hydrolase 7-like, with no coding region annotated. The record is from RefSeq and is a predicted model, not a curated record. The transcript has a single exon. Lineage: Eukaryota; Metazoa; Chordata; Mammalia; Primates; Cebidae.
GCAGUAGCUGAGUGAGCCCAUGAACAUGGAGAUGGAAGCUAGAGAUACAGAUGAUUCACCAAGAAUUACUCAGAACUCUGUGAUCAAUGGGAACGUGGCCCUGAGUGACAAACACAACAACUCGGAGGAGGACAUGGAAGACGACACCAGUUGGCGCUCUGCGGCAACCCUUCAGUUCACUGUGGAGGGCUUCAGCAGACUGGGUGAGUUGGUCCUAAAUCUGCCAUGGAAAAUUAUGCUGAUGCCACGCUUUUAUCCAGACAGACCACACCAAAAAAGCGUAGGAUUCUUUCUCCAGUGCAAUGCUGAAUCUGAUUCCACGUCGUGGUCUUGUCAUGCACAAGCAGUGCUGAAGAUAAUAAAUUAGAGAUGAUGAAAAAUCGUUCAGUCAUCAUAUUAGUCAUUUGUUCUUCCAUAAAGAAAACGACUGGGGAUUUUCUGAUUUUAUGGCCUGGAGUGAAGUGACUGAUCCUGAGAAAGGAUUUAUAGAUGAUGACAAAGUUACCUUUGAAGUCUUUGUACAGGCGAUGCUCCCCACGGAGUUGCCUGGGAUUCAAAGCAGCACACAGGCUAUGUGGGCUUAAAGAAUCAGGGAGCAACUUGUUAUAUGAACAGCUUUCUACCGACUUUAUUUUUCACAAAUCAGCUAGGAAAGGCUAUGUACAUGGUACCAAGCAAGGGGUAUGAUUCAUCUAAAAACGUCCCUUUAGCAUUACAAAGAGUAAUCUAUGAAUUAUAGCAUAGUGAUAAACCCAUAGGAACAAAAAAGUUAGCAAAGUCAUUUGGGUGGGAAACUUUAGACACUUCAUGCAACACAAUGUUCAGGAGCUUUGUCAAGUGUUGCUUCAUAAUGUGGAACAUAAGAUGAAAGGCACCUGUGUAGAGGGCACCAUACCCAGAUUAUCCGUGGUAAAAUGGUGUCCUAUAUCUAGUGUAAAGAAGUGGACUAUCAGUCUGAUAGAAGAGAAGAUUAUUAUGAUAUCCAUCAAAGUAUCAAAGGACAGAAAAACAUAUUUGAUUCAUUUGUGGAUUAUGUGGCAGUAGAACAGCUCACUGGGGACAAUAUGACACUGGGGAACAUGGCUUACAGGAAGCAGAAGAAGGUGUGAAAUUCCUAACACUGCCACCAGUGUUACAUCUAUAACUGAUGGGGUUUAUGUAUGACCCUCAGAUGGACCAAAAUAUCAAGAUCAAUGAUAAGUUUGAAUUCCCAGAGCAUUUACCACGUGACGAAUUUUUUCAAAAAGCAGAUCCUAAGGACCCUGCAAAUUAUAUUCUUCAUGCAGUCCUGGUUCAUAGUGGAGAUAAUCAUGGUGGACAUCAUGUGGUUUAUCCAAACCCCAAAGGGGAUGGCAAAUGGUGUAAAUUUGAUGAUGAUGUAGUGUCAGGGUGUACUAAAGAGGAAGCAGUUGAGCACAAUUAUGGGGGUCAUGAUGAUGACCUGUCUGUCUGACACUACACUAAUGCUUACAUGUUAGUCUAUAUCAGGGAAUCAAAACUGAGUGAAGUUUUACAGGCGGUCACUGACCAUGAUAUUCCUGAACAGUUGGUGGAUCAAUUACAAGAAGAGAAAAGGAUCAAGGCUCAGAAGCAGAAGGAGCGGCAGGAAGCCCAUCUCUAUAUGCAAGUGCAGAUAGUCACAGAGGACCAGUUUUGUGGCCACCAAGGAAAUGACAUGUACGAUGAAGAAAAAGUGAAAUACAAAGGGUUCAAAGUAUUGAAGAACUCCUCAACUGCCGAGUUUGUUCAGAACCUCUCUCAGACCAUGGGAUUUCCACAAGAUCAAAUUUGAUUGUGGCUCAUGCAAGCAAGGAGUAAUGGAACAAAAUUGCCAGCAAUGUUAGAUAAUGAAGCCAGUGGCAGUAAAACAAUGAUUGAGCUCAGUGAUAACUUGGACAACAUUCCUGGAAACAGUCAAACCUGAGCUGGCUGCUAGUGGAGUGACUUUACCCAAGUUUGAUAAAGAUCAUGAUGUAAUGUUAUUUUUGAAGAUGUAUGAUCCCAAAACAUGGAGCUUUAAGUACUGUGGGCAUAUCAACACACCAAUAUCCUGUAAAAUGCAUGACUUGCUCCCAGUUAUGUGUGACAGAGCAGGAUUUAUUCAAGAUACUAGCCUUAUUCUCUAUAAGGAAGUUAAACAGAAUUUAACAGAGAGAAUUCAGGACUAUCACAUGUCUCUUGAUAAAGCCCUUGAUGAACAAAUGGAUGGUGACAUCAUAGUAUUUCAGAAGAGUGACCCUGAAAAUGAUAACAGUGAAUUACCCACCACAAAGGAAUAUUUCCGAGAUCUCUACUACCAUGUUGAUGUCAUUUUCUGUGAUAAAACAAUCCCUAAUGAUCCUGGAUUUGUGGUUACAUUAUCAAAUAGAAUGAAUUAUUUUCAGGUUGCACAGACAGUUGCGCAGAGACACCAAACAGACCCAAUGUUGCUCCAGUUUUUCAAGUUUCAAGGUAAUAGGGAUGGCCUCCCUUAGACAUAAUUAUGAAGGUACUUUAAGAGAUCUUCUAUAAUUCUUCAAGGCUAGACAACCUAAGAAACUUUACUAUCAGCAGCUUAAGAUGAAAAUCACAGACUUUGAGAACUGGCAAAGUUUUAAAUGUAUAUGGUUAAACAGCCAAUUUAGGGAAGAAGAAAUAAUGCUAUAUCCAGACAAGCAGGACCAGGACCUGUUAGAAGAAUAUCCUAUGUCCAGGAACUGUUAGAAGAAUGUAAAAAGGCUGUGGAACCUGGGGAGAAGGCAUCAGGGAAACUUAGCCUGCUAGAAAUCGUAAGUUACAAAAUCAUUGGUGUCCAUCAAGAAGAUGAACUGUUAGAAUGUUUAUCUCCUGCAACGAGAGGACGUUUCAAAUAAAAAAAUCCCUUUGGACCAGAUGGACAUAGACAAAGAGAAGGAGAUGCUUGUCACAGUGGCACAUUUCCACAAAGAGGUCUUUGGAAUGUUUGGAAUCCCAUUUUUGCUGAGGAUACACCAAUGCGAACAUUUUCAAGAAGUGAUGAAGCGAAUCCAGAGCCUGCUGGACAUCCGGGAGAAGGAGUCUGAGAAGUUUAAAUCUGCAGUUGGAGUGACGGGCCAAUGCCAGUACAUAAAUAAAGAUGAGCAUGAAGUAAAUGUGAAAGACUUUGAGUCAUAACCCAUUAACAUGUCUUAUCUUCAUGCCUUGACUAAGGCUCAGUCACUUCAACAAAGCCCCAAAGAGUCAUUGCUACACUGACCUUGAAAAGGUCAUUAAAAUCCAUAACUGA